CUCCCAGUAGACGACUGGGUUGAUAGGCCAGAUGUGGAAGCCCGGUAACGGGUGGAGCUGACUGGUACUAAUAGGCCGAGGGCUUGUCCUC
Molecule: ribosomal RNA, 91 nt
Filed under: Streptomyces microflavus
Lineage: Bacteria; Bacillati; Actinomycetota; Actinomycetes; Kitasatosporales; Streptomycetaceae
Description: 23S rRNA. Bacterial LSU
Rfam family: Bacterial large subunit ribosomal RNA
Source: RNAcentral